RNAcentral lists this ribosomal RNA (497 nucleotides) under uncultured Glomus. RNAcentral describes it as "SSU rRNA". It matches the Rfam family "Eukaryotic small subunit ribosomal RNA", at positions 578 to 1078 of the family's 1831-position model. The record is from RNAcentral. Lineage: Eukaryota; Fungi; Glomeromycota; Glomeromycetes; Glomerales; Glomeraceae.
GGUAAUUCCAGCUCCAAUAGCGUAUAUUAAAGUUGUUGCAGUUAAAAAGCUCGUAGUUGAAUUUCGGGAUUAGUACGUUGGUCGUGCCUUCGGUACGUACUGGUGUUACUGAUUCCUACCUUCUGACGAACCAUCAUGUCAUUAAUUUGGUGUGGUGGGGAAUCAGGACUGUUACUUUGAAAAAAUUAGAGUGUUUAAAGCAGGCUCGCGCUUGAAUACAUUAGCAUGGAAUAAUGAAAUAGGACGUUGACCCUAUUUUGUUGGUUUCUAGGAUUGACGUAAUGAUUAAUAGGGAUAGUUGGGGGCAUUAGUAUUCAAUUGUCAGAGGUGAAAUUCUUGGAUUUAUUGAAGACUAACUACUGCGAAAGCAUUUGCCAAGGAUGUUUUCAUUAAUCAAGAACGAAAGUUAGGGGAUCGAAGACGAUCAGAUACCGUCGUAGUCUUAACCAUAAACUAUGCCCGACUAGGGAUCGGAUGAUGUUAUUUUUAAUGACUCA